RNAcentral lists this unclassified non-coding RNA (264 nucleotides) under Hevea brasiliensis (rubber tree). Lineage: Eukaryota; Viridiplantae; Streptophyta; Magnoliopsida; Malpighiales; Euphorbiaceae. The record is from RNAcentral.
GGAUGAUAUUUGGGAAUUGUUCUCAAAAAGAUCUUGCUCCUUCAAUCUUUUUUUCUUGGGUUCAAUGCCAUACAUCCAGUGUAAAUCUGCUACUCCAUCACUAGCAUCCUGACCAGGAGCUGUACAUGGAGGAACGUAGGGAGGAUGCUGGGAAUGAUCCUGCAAAUUGAAGGAGUUGAAAUAGGAGAUCGGUUGAGAAACAUGACCAUCGGCAGUGUACAAGUUGCGAAAAGAAAUAGAUUGGUGUUGCUGUUGGGAUUGAUA